RNA transcript from Oreochromis niloticus (Nile tilapia), 2703 nucleotides. It is a transcript of the gene named chromosome 9 C2orf80 homolog, with no coding region annotated. NCBI's taxonomy places the organism in Eukaryota, Metazoa, Chordata, Actinopteri, Cichliformes, Cichlidae. The transcript is spliced from 8 exons. The record is from RefSeq and is a predicted model, not a curated record.
CGUCUUCAAGCAACUCAAAGAAGUCCAGACGCUUUUCUUUGCAAAUUCCUUUAAAGUUACACAGUGAACUCGCGUUUAUUAUUAUAUUUACAAAAUACCACAGUUUUUGUCUUGGUCGUAUCAUUUUUUAUUUUGUCGUAUUUGUCCGCGACACCUUUAAGGCCGGUCCGUGUGACGUUAGGCCGGGGGACCGCUGGAUUAGAAUUCACAUCUACUUGCUUUGUUCCACUACAGUGUAUUUUGGUAUUCAUUUUAAAGGAUUGAAAUGGUUAUUUGUCAAUCGUCAGUUUUUGCAUAAUAAUCGUUAAUAACAAAAUGUUGCAAAUGUAUUAAAAAUUAACAACUAAAAUAUCUCAUUUAUAAAGGUAUUUAGACCUUUAGUUGAGUAAUUUGUAGAAGCCACUUUGCGUUUUGGUCUUGUGUUGCCUGUUUGCAUAGGUCUUUCUGGGAACGUAACCAAUGCAGAGACUGUUGGGCACAUCAGUGAGCAGUCCUGCAGGAAGACGACAGUGCAAACUUGAGCCGUGAUGGCUCUGAGUGCCAGCAGAAUGGUGACUGCCUAUAGACCAAGACCUUAAGUUGUCUAGAGGAUUUGCACGCCUGGUUGCGGACAGUAUAUCUUAUUAUGACAAAACUUCUUGAGCUCCUUCACAUAGGAUGGGUGGUGUCAGUAAACUGGCAUCAUAAGUCUCUCUAACGCAGGGGUCUCAAACUCCAGUCCUCAAGGUCCGGUGUCCUGAAACCUUUCCAUGUGUCCCUGUUGCAACACACCUGAAUACAAUUAGUAUGUCUUUAGCAAGAGUCUAGAACUUGACUGCAUGCUGAGGUGGCAACCUCUAACCCUACUCAAAUAAAUUCAAGUAAAUGUAAGUGUUUGGAAAAAUGUACUUCUAAAAGUACUUUUAUUGCACCAUGUUCAUUCACUCAUGAGCUGCUGUAACAUGAAUAGAAUGGCUGAAUUGCCACCUCAGCAUGCAGUCAAGUUUUAUAGAGUCUUGCUAAUGAGGUGUAUUACAACAGGGACACAUGAAGAAGGCCCUUGAGGACUGGAGUUUAAAACCCCUGCUCUAACAUGCUCUGUAGGUUUAAGGCAUUGGCGUUAUACUACCACUACCAUGCUUCACUGUAAGGAUGGUAUCAGCACACACACUGCCUCUAGUUUAUUAGUGCAAAGAGUUUAUGUUUUUUGUAAUCCUUUCCCAUGUGCUCUCAGAGGCCUUUCAGAGCUUUCUGACAAACACAAAAGCUGAUACGGUACCCUGUUAAGGAAUUAUAUUCAUGUCAAAAUCUGCAGGUGAGAAAAAAACACACAUUCAUUGCAACUCAAUCAAUUGCAUUCUAUGUGUAUAAAUUCAAUAACCUGCACGUGUAGAGCGCAGCAGCCGCGCAUAUAGAGAAGCCAUCGUGCAUGCAACAUGAAUUGAAUUCUAUAACUUUCUGGCACAGUCUUCUGUUUAUUGAGGAUUUGUUCCUGUUAAGUUGGUCCUCUCCCUGGUGUACGCCCUUUCUGCCCAAACUGGCCAGAUGGCCAUCUCUACGAAGUCUCCCAGUGACUGGAGAAUUCAAUGAAAAUGAACAGGAGGCACAUCAAAGGGUCUGAAUAUGUUAACUGAAACAUUAAAAGCAUGGUUUCACAUUCAGUUAGGUUACUUCUUGUUAGGAAAAUUACACUUUUAUCAUUAAAAAAUGAAUAAAACAACAAAUUGCACAAAAAGCUGAGGUGACUAGUUAAGAUGUAGAAGAUGUACUAUGUACUGUACAUGCGCUGAUUUCUCUGCAGGAGUCCUAGAUGAAAGGAUUUCAUUCAGAAAAUGGAGGCAAACAAGCUCAAAAGAGAUGUUGAGGCCCUUAUAGACAACUAUAUUGGACAGAAACUCAGAGAGGACGGCUUUGAUCCGAAGGGCAAGGGAACUUUCACAGCACUGGAUGACCUGGCUCACUAUGAUCUUGCAAUCAGUGUUGCCCUUUGGUGGUUGGAGAAGAAGGAAGGACGACAUGUGCUCGACAGAGAGAUCAUUGGAGCAACAUGCAGUUUAGGAAGUGCCCAGUAUCCUAAUCGCUUAGAGCGGGAGGCUAUGAUCUUGUCAUCCUUUGCUGGGAUAAUUAUGAGUAGCCUGCCAGUGGAGAAAAUCUUGACCCUGUACAGGUGUAAACCAGCCGCUUCAUACCCCAACCAGAAAUCCAAGGGCUCAAUUGUCUAUCCCAUCACUCUGUCCUAUCAUCCGUUUGCAAUGCUCGGCUCCUACAAGGUCGCGCACCACUCCAAGAAACACAGAAAAACAAAACUCUUGCAGAUCAGAAGCUGAAAAGAUGGCUGUCUGGGCAGACAAAGGCAAGCACUCCACCGAAGCAAGUUUCAUCUUCGUUUUCCACUUCAUCUCAGUCCUUCAUCAGUGACAGCAGUGACGUUCACCAGGAAAGAACUGAGCACUAUGAAGGCUCGCAAGAGUCUCUGCAUGACUGACGUCAACCGCCAGCAGCUGCCAGAAGUAGAGACAUUGAGCUAAAUCAAUAAUACUAACAUGAAAUGGUAAAAUUCCUCAGUUGAACGUUAACGUACUCAACUAAAAAUGUCACUUGAACUCAAAAAUGCACUUGAAGUGCUCAGAUAUAAAAGACACAUAAACAGAGAAAUAUUUUCUGUCAGCUGGGCUCUGUGUUAUUUGAUAAUGCAUUAUAUGAAUAAAUUGUUACUACAUUCAA